GAUGAACGCUGGCGGCGUGCCUAAUACAUGCAAGUCGAGCGAACGGACGAGAAGCUUGCUUCUCUGAUGUUAGCGGCGGACGGGUGAGUAACACGUGGAUAACCUACCUAUAAGACUGGGAUAACUUCGGGAAACCGGAGCUAAUACCGGAUAAUAUUUUGAACCGCAUGGUUCAAAAGUGAAAGACGGUCUUGCUGUCACUUAUAGAUGGAUCCGCGCUGCAUUAGCUAGUUGGUAAGGUAACGGCUUACCAAGGCAACGAUGCAUAGCCGACCUGAGAGGGUGAUCGGCCACACUGGAACUGAGACACGGUCCAGACUCCUACGGGAGGCAGCAGUAGGGAAUCUUCCGCAAUGGGCGAAAGCCUGACGGAGCAACGCCGCGUGAGUGAUGAAGGUCUUCGGAUCGUAAAACUCUGUUAUUAGGGAAGAACAUAUGUGUAAGUAACUGUGCACAUCUUGACGGUACCUAAUCAGAAAGCCACGGCUAACUACGUGCCAGCAGCCGCGGUAAUACGUAGGUGGCAAGCGUUAUCCGGAAUUAUUGGGCGUAAAGCGCGCGUAGGCGGUUUUUUAAGUCUGAUGUGAAAGCCCACGGCUCAACCGUGGAGGGUCAUUGGAAACUGGAAAACUUGAGUGCAGAAGAGGAAAGUGGAAUUCCAUGUGUAGCGGUGAAAUGCGCAGAGAUAUGGAGGAACACCAGUGGCGAAGGCGACUUUCUGGUCUGUAACUGACGCUGAUGUGCGAAAGCGUGGGGAUCAAACAGGAUUAGAUACCCUGGUAGUCCACGCCGUAAACGAUGAGUGCUAAGUGUUAGGGGGUUUCCGCCCCUUAGUGCUGCAGCUAGCGCAUUAAGCACUCCGCCUGGGGAGUACGACCGCAAGGUUGAAACUCAAAGGAAUUGACGGGGACCCGCACAAGCGGUGGAGCAUGUGGUUUAAUUCGAAGCAACGCGAAGAACCUUACCAAAUCUUGACAUCCUUUGACAACUCUAGAGAUAGAGCUUUCCCCUUCGGGGGACAAAGUGACAGGUGGUGCAUGGUUGUCGUCAGCUCGUGUCGUGAGAUGUUGGGUUAAGUCCCGCAACGAGCGCAGCCCUUAAGCUUAGUUGCCAUCAUUAAGUUGGGCACUCUAAGUUGACUGCCGGUGACAAACCGGAGGAAGGUGGGGAUGACGUCAAAUCAUCAUGCCCCUUAUGAUUUGGGCUACACACGUGCUACAAUGGACAAUACAAAGGGCAGCGAAACCGCGAGGUCAAGCAAAUCCCAUAAAGUUGUUCUCAGUUCGGAUUGUAGUCUGCAACUCGACUACAUGAAGCUGGAAUCGCUAGUAAUCGUAGAUCAGCAUGCUACGGUGAAUACGUUCCCGGGUCU
Molecule: ribosomal RNA, 1372 nt
Filed under: uncultured bacterium
Lineage: Bacteria
Description: bacterial SSU rRNA
Rfam family: Bacterial small subunit ribosomal RNA
Source: RNAcentral